Molecule: non-coding RNA, 91 nt
Organism: Mycena epipterygia
Lineage: Eukaryota; Fungi; Basidiomycota; Agaricomycetes; Agaricales; Mycenaceae
Source: the annotation of a GenBank genome assembly
GACUCGAUGGCGGAAAUUCCGCGUCUGCGCAUUGUGGAAUUGGAUAUAGACAUCCGAGCAGAAGUUGUCGGUUCGAAUCCGGCCCGAGUCA